RNAcentral lists this ribosomal RNA (468 nucleotides) under uncultured bacterium. RNAcentral describes it as "partial 16S ribosomal RNA". It matches the Rfam family "Bacterial small subunit ribosomal RNA", at positions 28 to 507 of the family's 1533-position model. The record is from RNAcentral.
GACGAACGCUGGCGGCGUGCUUAACACAUGCAAGUCGAACGAUGAUGCCAGCUUGCUGGUGGAUUAGUGGCGAACGGGUGAGUAACACGUGAGCAACCUGCCCCUGACUUCGGGAUAACCGCGGGAAACCGUGGCUAAUACCGGAUAUGACGCGCUAUCGCAUGGUGGUGUGUGGAAAGAUUUAUCGGUUGGGGAUGGGCUCGCGGCCUAUCAGCUUGUUGGUGGGGUGAUGGCCUACCAAGGCGACGACGGGUAGCCGGCCUGAGAGGGUGACCGGCCACACUGGGACUGAGACACGGCGCAGACUCCUACGGGAGGCAGCAGUGGGGAAUAUUGCACAAUGGGCGCAAGCCUGAUGCAGCGACGCCGCGUGAGGGAUGACGGCCUUCGGGUUGUAAACCUCUUUCAGUAGGGAAGAAGGCCUUCGGGUUGACGGUACCUGCAGAAGAAGCGCCGGCUAACUACGUG